GAUUUAUUUAUGCAGCGCUUGGCAGCCCAUCGUCCAGAUUGUGGCUGAAGCUGAAUUUUAUGAGCCUUCCCCCAGCUCUCCUGUACUUCUUUUUCAGGGCAAGAAACAGAACGGAAAUGGAGAGGAGAGCCCAGCAUGACUUGCGCCGUGCCAAAGGAAUACGUGCAGAAACGUCUACUCUUGAGCCUUCCAGUGGCCACUGGUACCUUUGGACCUUGAGCUGGAGCUGCAGCCUAGAGUUAUUAUUUAGCUUUGCCCUUUGUCUUUGGUGCAGAAGGGGUGAUGCCUGACCUACACACCCGGCAAUACCAGAAGUUUCACUACCUUCCGUUGGUAAACGCUUCAGGGAAGGCUCUGCAACCCUGAACGUGUUUUAUUGUAGAACCUCACUAGGAAACUCAUCAGUAUUUAUUAAAGAUGAAUUAAAAGAAGGAGGAAAAGGAAAAACGGGAUAGUGAAGAGAAUAGAUGAAUGAAAAAGAAGCAAAGGGAAGAGAGGAGGAAGGGACAAAGAGGGCAAGAAAAGAGAAAA
RNAcentral lists this long non-coding RNA (531 nucleotides) under Mus musculus (house mouse). Its description in RNAcentral is "RIKEN cDNA 2600014E21 gene". Lineage: Eukaryota; Metazoa; Chordata; Mammalia; Rodentia; Muridae. The record is from RNAcentral.